CAGAAUAUUAACUUUUUUAGCUUUACGAAAUUUUAAUUUAUAGUUUAAGUAAAAAUGCAUAAUUAUUUAAAAGGGACGAUNAGACCCUAUAGAAUUUGAAAAUGGGCAUGACGAAAAUCUCAUUUUUUUGUUGGGGUGACAGUAAAAAAACUUUUAUAAGAUUUUCAUUGAUGGGUGAUUUAAUGAUCCUAUAUUUAUAGAUAAAAAGAUAAAAUUACCUUAGGGAUAACAGCAUAAUUUUUUUUAAAAGAUCUUAUUAAUAAAAAAGAUUAUGACCUCGAUGUUGAAUUAAAAUAAAAUUUUGGUGUAGAAGCUAAAUUUUGUAGUCUGUUCGACUUUAUAUUUUACAUGAUUUGAGUUCAGACCGGCGUGAGCCAGGUUGGUUUCUAUCUUUUUAAGAUAU
This 403-nucleotide ribosomal RNA is filed under the name Strophingia sp. 24_2_2 LS-2020. RNAcentral's name for it is "partial large subunit ribosomal RNA". The stretch from base 70 to 395 matches the Rfam family "Bacterial large subunit ribosomal RNA", at positions 2074 to 2646 of the family's 2925-position model. The record is from RNAcentral. Lineage: Eukaryota; Metazoa; Arthropoda; Insecta; Hemiptera; Liviidae.